Long non-coding RNA from Pseudopipra pipra, 379 nucleotides. RefSeq lists it as uncharacterized. The record is from RefSeq and is a predicted model, not a curated record. Lineage: Eukaryota; Metazoa; Chordata; Aves; Passeriformes; Pipridae. The transcript has 2 exons.
CUUGGAGCUGCUCGCAUCAUAGAACAGUCUGGAGUCCAGGGGUGCAUUUUCCUGUGUCACAGCCAGCCAGGCAGAGGCAUUGCAGCAGCGCCCCAGCUCUGCCCUGUAAGGGCAGAGAGUGAGCAGAAGCCUGGGGGAAGAAUAAAGGAGGACUGCCACGGGAUAAAGAAGGAGAGAGGGCUGAGAAUGAGAACAGGGGGCUAGGCAAGGUGCUACAGUAGAAGCAGAAGUAGAGGAUUAGAUACAAUUGGAGGUGCAGGCAGUCAUGCAAGGAUCAAUCUAAUAAAAAGACCUGGGCAGGCAUUCACCCAAAACUCAUCAUGCAAAAGAAGAUGACCAAGAGACUGUUGGAGUAAAGAAGGAGUCACCUGAAACAAAA